Jaculus jaculus (lesser Egyptian jerboa) is the source of this 573-nucleotide long non-coding RNA. RefSeq lists it as uncharacterized. The transcript has 4 exons. The record is from RefSeq and is a predicted model, not a curated record. Lineage: Eukaryota; Metazoa; Chordata; Mammalia; Rodentia; Dipodidae.
AUUGCCCCGCGGCGUCCUCGCUCAUCUCCUCGCUCACCUCGAACCUGUCACCUCUCGCUCUGUCGAGUACAUUUCUGAGCCUGGGGGCGACCCUGGUCCCCCGCCAGGGGGCAAAGGCAAGGUGGUAUAGUCAAGCCUGGUUUUAGAGAAAUUUAAAGAGUACCUAAAAAUAAUCCUGUAAGCAACUCUCAAGAAAUCAAGGAAGAGCAAUAAAAUAAUCACUGAAAGUGCUUUUCAUUGAGACCAGAUAUAGCUCUUUGUAUGGAAAGUGGAGUUUUAAGGAAGCAGAAGAAACAUUUGAAAGGAUAUUUGGUGACCCAAAUUCUCCUACGGCAUGGCUUUGGGAACAGGACAAGAAUUUGAUAUCUGGUGUGAGGAAGUAUGGAGAAGGAAGCUGGGAUAAAAUACUAUCACGUUAUAAGUUCAACAACCGAACAAGUGUCAUCUUAAAAGACAGAUGGAGAACUAUGAAGAAACUAAAGCUGAUCUGCUCAGACAAUGAAGACUAAACAUGUUUGUCAGAGAUUAAUGAAAAAGAUAUUAAAAUACUUUUGACUACUACAUGUUCUUUAA